RNAcentral lists this long non-coding RNA (659 nucleotides) under Fukomys damarensis (Damara mole-rat). RNAcentral's name for it is "lncRNA (ENSFDAG00000031352.1)". Lineage: Eukaryota; Metazoa; Chordata; Mammalia; Rodentia; Bathyergidae. The record is from RNAcentral.
CAACUUGCUGACUGGUGGGUGAGCUAGGAUGAAAGUAAGUGAAGGGCUGUAGUCAAAGAUUUGAAUGGCUGUAUUCCAGCUGAUAUGUGACCGAAACUUCCUGGAAGAGUCUAAGCACAGUCAAGCAAGAUUUUUCUGAAUUCUUGACAGGAAUGAUGAAAGAAAAUGCAUGAGUAUUGACAUUUUAAACCACUAAAUUUUUUUUUAUAUAGCCACAGAUAACAAAUACAAUGUUUCUGUACAAAGCGAUCAAGACAGCUUCUCUAAGGAAUACUAUUUGAUGUGACCUGAGUCGGGAGACACUAGCUACUUGACACUUUGGGACUCAGAUGUUCCAGGCAGCAGUAGCAAUGGAUAGCAGCAAGGAUUGUAGGGAGAUCUUCAAAAGACAGAAUCUGGGCUGCUACUAGCUGGAUUCAUUCAGCUACAAGCAUCAAGAGUAUAAGAAAAGCUAAUAACGAUGAAAAAAAAAAGAAUUAUUCACAAGUUGACCCAAGUGGGAGGGUAGCUAACCUGACCUCCCUCCCACCCCCACCACACAGAAGUACAGUAAUCCUAUUCAUAGAAGGAUUAAAAAAGAGCCAGGAAAUACACAUAUGUAGAUUUAGUGAGGUUUUGGAGCACCAGGUUUCCAGAAAAUGUUGAAUCCUUCUUAGCAU